AUGUGUGCUUCUGUUGUAGCACAGUUGCAAGCAUCUGGUGUUGCUGAGAGCACAGUCCAAGCAAUGGUGGGGUCCAUGGAGGAACUUGUAAAUGACAUUCAUAGGCAAGCGAGAGAGGCAGUUGUCAGCUGUACUUCAGAAAUUCAAGGCACAGAUUUGGAAAAGAAGGUGGAAAAGUGUUUUGAUCAACUAGAAAAUCCUUUCUCAACCUUGAACACAAGAGUCAAACGACAGAAGUUCUUUGAGGAAAAAUGGGAAAUUGUUGAACCUGUUGAAUAUGUUCUUGGGGUGAGGUUUGAUGUUAGCAGAGAUAAAACAACAGGAGUUUACAAUCAGGUCCCUGUAACAGAUACAUUUGUGUAUACACCCAUCCUGGGAACUCUUAAGUCUAUGUUCAAGAACACUGAGUUAUGUGAAAGUUUCUUGCAAACCAAACAAUACGAAGAAGGUAUUUAUAAAGACAUAUGUGAUGGUUCAUACUUCAAGAGUAACAUUUUGUUUUCCCAGAAAAAACAUGCUCUACAGAUUCAACUCUAUUUUGAUGAGUUUGAGACAGUAAAUCCCUUAGGUUCAAAGAAAGGGAUUCACAAACUUGGUUGUACUUACUUUAUAUUGCGGAACCUGCCCCCAAAAUAUAAUUCUGUGUUGAUGAAUAUACAUGUUGUGGCACUCUUUCACUCACAAGACCUGAAGACUUAUGGAUUUGAUAACAUCCUGAAGCCUCUUGUUGAUCUUAAAAUACUUGAAACACAAGGAAUUGAGGUGCCUUUCUCAGACUUACCAUUGCUUGGUUCUGUUAUACAAGUAACAGGGGACAACCUAGGUUUACAUGGACUGUUUGGUUUUGUUGAGUCCUUCAGUGCUACGUAUUUCUGUAGAUUUUGUUUGACAAGUAAGGAUGAGUCACAGUCUGUCUUUACUGAAGAUGACCCUGGCGUGAUUUUUCGUACAAAAGAAAUCUAUGCAGAACAUUGUGCAGCUCUACAGGAAGAUCCUAUGUUGGGUUCAACAUUUGGUGUCAAAAAGACAUGCUUGCUCAAUACAUUGCAUUUUUUCCACACCUCUGACAACUAUGCAGUUGACAUAAUGCAUGAUUUACUUGAAGGUGUAGUACAGUACGAACUCAAACUUGUCUUUCAAUACCUUGUCAACCAGAAAUAUCUGUCAUUAGAAUCUUUGUCACAGAGGAUGCAAAGUUUCAAGAGAAGAAAAGGCCAAGUGGGUUGA
RNAcentral lists this long non-coding RNA (1227 nucleotides) under Dicentrarchus labrax (European seabass). Its description in RNAcentral is "lncRNA (ENSDLAG00005030197.1)". Lineage: Eukaryota; Metazoa; Chordata; Actinopteri; Moronidae. The record is from RNAcentral.